Molecule: long non-coding RNA, 565 nt
Organism: Oncorhynchus masou masou (cherry salmon)
Lineage: Eukaryota; Metazoa; Chordata; Actinopteri; Salmoniformes; Salmonidae
Exons: 3
Source: RefSeq, a predicted model, not a curated record
CCAACGUAACCUCAGUGGAACUGUGGCUUCAUCGAGUUCCAGCUCUAGGCAGACAGCACAUCAGGAAGGCUGUAAGACAUCACAGAGACAGAUGCUUGGCUUUUUCUUGUUCUUGGAGGUUGGCUCUGAUGUUUCAACCUCUUCUGGAGCUUCUCGCUGCUGGCUGUCUGGCGCCUCCUGUUGGUUCUCUGGCCCCUCCUGCUGGUUCUCUGAACUCCCCUCCUGGUUCUCUGCCCAUGCCUGUUGCCUCCUUGGCCCCUCCUGCUGGCCAUCUCCAGAUGCAACAGGCUCUUGGCUUACUUGUUGGCCUGUCGCCCACCCCGGCAAUUCCUGACCUUGGUUGUAGUCGUGGCUGUGUUGGGUGGUUGGACACCGGGUGAUGUACUGGGUGCUGAACUUCUGGAUUUGCUCAUCAGCCUCCAGAUUAAUCUGCUCCAGGAGGGGGUAAGAAGACAGUCCCAGUAGGAGACGGAGAUCGUCCAGAAGAAGAAGAGCUGUCCAUCUCCUCAGAGGCUGCAGGAAAGGUCUACAAGUUUUAUUUCUGGAAAAUAAAGAGAUGCCUUCG